RNAcentral lists this ribosomal RNA (495 nucleotides) under uncultured bacterium. RNAcentral describes it as "partial 16S ribosomal RNA". It matches the Rfam family "Bacterial small subunit ribosomal RNA", at positions 28 to 507 of the family's 1533-position model. The record is from RNAcentral.
GACGAACGCUGGCGGCGUGCCUAAUACAUGCAAGUAGAACGCUGAAGGAGGAGCUUGCUCUUCUGGAUGAGUUGCGAACGGGUGAGUAACGCGUAGGUAACCUGCCUGGUAGCGGGGGAUAACUAUUGGAAACGAUAGCUAAUACCGCAUAACAGUAGAUGUUGCAUGACAUUUGCUUAAAAGGUGCAAUUGCACCACUACCAGAUGGACCUGCGUUGUAUUAGCUAGUUGGUGGGGUAACGGCUCACCAAGGCGACGAUACAUAGCCGACCUGAGAGGGUGAUCGGCCACACUGGGACUGAGACACGGCCCAGACUCCUACGGGAGGCAGCAGUAGGGAAUCUUCGGCAAUGGACGGAAGUCUGACCGAGCAACGCCGCGUGAGUGAAGAAGGUUUUCGGAUCGUAAAGCUCUGUUGUAAGAGAAGAACGAGUGUGAGAGUGGAAAGUUCACACUGUGACGGUAUCUUAACAGAAAGGGACGGCUAACUACGUG